Molecule: unclassified non-coding RNA, 377 nt
Filed under: Hevea brasiliensis (rubber tree)
Lineage: Eukaryota; Viridiplantae; Streptophyta; Magnoliopsida; Malpighiales; Euphorbiaceae
Source: RNAcentral
GGAGAAGCAGAUUACUAGACCAUCUGUGAAAAGGUGGCUCGAUGAUCUUAAGGAUGCUGUGUAUGAAGCCGAUGACCUGUUGGAUGAAAUUGCCUAUGAAGCUUUGCGAUCAGAGAUGGAAACUGCAGGCUCUGAAGCUACCACGACUCAGGUUCGGAAAUCCUUCUCUUCUUUUAGUUCAUUGGGAAUAGGGGUGCAAUCAGAAUUAGGAGAUAUUCAUGAAAGACUUGAAACGAUUCUUGAAAAGCUUGAAUAUUUAGUUAAACAAAAGGAAGCCCUUGGUCUGAGAGAGAAUAUUGGGGAAAAACCAUCUUGGCAUAAAAUACCAUCAACUUCUCUGGUUGAUGAGUCUGUUGUUUAUGGUAGGGAUGAUGAUA